GACGAACGCUGGCGGCGUGCUUAACACAUGCAAGUCGAACGGAAAGGCCCUGCUUGCAGGGUACUCGAGUGGCGAACGGGUGAGUAACACGUGGGUGAUCUGCCCUGCACUUCGGGAUAAGCCUGGGAAACUGGGUCUAAUACCGGAUAGGAGCCAUUUUUAGUGUGAUGGUUGGAAAGUUUUUUCGGUGUAGGAUGAGCUCGCGGCCUAUCAGCUUGUUGGUGGGGUAAUGGCCUACCAAGGCGGCGACGGGUAGCCGGCCUGAGAGGGUGGACGGCCACAUUGGGACUGAGAUACGGCCCAGACUCCUACGGGAGGCAGCAGUGGGGAAUAUUGCACAAUGGGCGCAAGCCUGAUGCAGCGACGCCGCGGGGGGGAUGACGGCCUUCGGGUUGGAAACUCCUUUCGCUAGGGACGAAGCUUUUUGUGACGGUACCUAGAUAAGAAGCACCGGCUAACUACGUA
RNAcentral lists this ribosomal RNA (465 nucleotides) under uncultured bacterium. RNAcentral's name for it is "partial 16S ribosomal RNA". It matches the Rfam family "Bacterial small subunit ribosomal RNA", at positions 28 to 507 of the family's 1533-position model. The record is from RNAcentral.